Molecule: transfer RNA, 64 nt
Filed under: Deinopsis sp. ZMUN 10008437
Lineage: Eukaryota; Metazoa; Arthropoda; Insecta; Coleoptera; Staphylinidae
Description: tRNA-Leu
Source: RNAcentral
GUUAUUUUGGCAGAAUAGUGUAUUAAAUUUAGAAUUUAAAAAUGUAAUUGAUUACAAAUAAUAC